Molecule: non-coding RNA, 84 nt
Organism: Mycena alexandri
Lineage: Eukaryota; Fungi; Basidiomycota; Agaricomycetes; Agaricales; Mycenaceae
Source: the annotation of a GenBank genome assembly
AGCCUUGUGGUCUAGCGGUACGACGUCAGCUUCCACAUCAGACGUGACAGCUGGAGGGUGCGAGUUCGAUUCCCGCCAAGGCAG